UUUCUUUUAAUUUUAUCUAAGAUGAUCAUUUAUAAAUGAAAAUAUUUAAUACUAUUUUUACCAGUGGCAUGUUUUUAUUUUAUUUUUUUGAGAAUAAAUAUUACAAAACAAAACAUUAGAUAAGCAAGUAUAACUUUUUAUUCGUACAGACAAUCCACAGCAAAAGACUUUCUCCAAAUAAAAAACAUAUAUAAAAGAAAGACUUCUGAAUUCACACUAUACGCAACAAGCACACAUAGAUCAACAACACAAGACAAGGCCCUUGAAACUGAAGAAGCGGCAGAAGCAGCAGAGAAUUAAUUAAGCUUGAGCUGGAGAGGGAGCAGGAGAAAUUGCACGACAGUAGCUCAAGAGUAUGUUGCUUUGCUGGGGUGUGUAUCCGAACCAAGGAAGAGUGCUAGGCCAGGCGCAUUUUCUUGUGACGUUUUCGAUGGCUCCGCAGCAGGGACCAACAUUGGUCAUGCCAGUAAAGAAGAAUUGGUAAAUCACGGCCAAGCAUUUGUUCAAUUCUUGAUAUGCCUUCAAGCACUCAAUGAACUGGCCUCCAGGCCCUCCACUGGCUUGAAGCCCUUCUUUAAGAUUGUAGCUAGCUGCCUUAUUCAUGGCACUUGCAUUUGCAACGAGACUUGUUAUCAGAAACAAAAUGAUGAGAAACAAAUUUUUGAGAGCCAUUGGUGACUGAACUAAUAAUUAACCUUUUGAUUAAUUUUCUUUGUAGUUGUUUGCUAUGGGAUGAACGAAACUUGAUACUUUUUGAGGGUUUUUAUAUAGAGAAUGAUCAUGUACACAACUCGAUUUGAAGUCAAAAUGUGCCUCUGUUAAUUAAUGCUAAUGACAGUUGAAUAACAGCAAGUUUAAUCACUUGAUUUUAUUAAUUUGUUUUAUUUUUUAAUUGAGCCCGAAAUGGGCUAUAAAAUAUUUUGCAAUAAUUAAUAGGUAAAAAGAAUUACAAAAUCAGCCGCAAGCCAAAAAAAAUUAAUUAAUUAAGUUCAAAACGAAUAAAUUAUUAACUCUAACUAUCAUAUAGAUUGUUUAAUUUGUUUUAACUAUUGUCGAAUGAAUUUUACUAGUGUUAUGUUUUUGUGCAAUAAACUGUACGUGCUGAACGUGAUAGUUUAUUUAAAAUUUCUAACGAUUUAUUAAUUAUAUUUGUUACUAAUUAAUUAUAUUUAAAGAUUUUUCCUUAAAUGCUAAAUAUUUGCAAAACGUGCAGCUAAUGAGAGAAUUACAAAGAAAAUAAUACUUGAAGAAGAAAAGUGAUAAGAGAAUUACAAAGAAGCAACACGGCAAAAUAAAUUAUCUGUAAGGAAGGAAUAAAUGCACUCGAAUAAUUACGGAGGGCACUUGAUUAUCGUGGUAAGAAUUUGAUUACGGGGUAACGUGCGCGGCAGUGGGAUUUGUAGGUCUUGAUGUGAAUCCCACGGUGAGGAUUCCACAAGCGGAUGGUGCGGUCCUUGCCGCAACUCAGACAAUAAUUACCGUCGCCGUUGAACCGAGCGGCUAAAACUGCGCCUUCGUGGCCCUUGAGCACGUUAGCCUCUGUCCUCGGAAGAUCGGAUACGCUCAUCUUUUUGCUUCUUUGAGCGGGAACGAGUUAUCGGGCGCCGUUGCGAUGGAAAAAGCAUAAACAAUUCGAAAUUGAGAGCUUUUAUUGUUAUUUUGUUUUUAAAGUACCGUAAAUAAAGUUGGAGCCCCUGAAUCUUUAUGUAAUUAUAGUAAAACCGAAAAUUACAUUGAUUGUUAACUUAGGUUCCUGAUUUGAUAUAGUGAUAUAGCGAUUUGUCAUGUCUGGUUUAAGGAUCACCGAUGAUGAUUCGACCCUUGUAUCCCUACAAAUUUUUAUGCAAAUAUUGAUUUUAUGAUUUUUUUUAAAGGAACAUGAAUGCUACAUUUAUUUAUAGGGUGUGACUCGGGCACUAUUAAAUGAUUAAAAAAUCAAUAAAAUCUAAUUAUGUAACUUUGGUGAAACUAUGCCAUAUGGUGCCCAUAUAAUACUACAAUCAUAGUCUUUUUAUUGUUAAUAUACUGCAGUGUCUUCGAUCAGCAUAUGGUUAUAAAAAGAAAAUUAAAUUGUCAUUUUAAUACGAUGUGUCUAACUAAAUAGAAAUAAAUUAUAUUGAUUUUUUAUUCUGGCUACAUUUUUUAUUUUAUUAUUUUGUAAUAAUUUAGUUUCCUCCAACAUUCUAAAUAAAUCAAAUAAUUAAAAUUAAAUAAAAUUUGGAAAGAUUUAUACAAGAGAAUAAACUGCAAGAAGGAAGAAAUGAUUUGGAACAAACAUAGAAAAGAACAAUUUACAUAUUUAAGAGUUUUACUAAAUAUAGUGUAAGAGAGAUUGUAACAUUUUUCAAUCUUUGGUUUGAUAUUCUGGAAGAAAACGGUUUGCCGUUUAUGGAGAAAACAGCUAACCGUUUCAUUCCAGAGAGCAUGUUUUCUGUUCUAGAGAAAACGGCUAACCGUUUGGAGAAAACGGCUCACCGUUUGGAGAAAACGGCUCACCGUUUGGAUAAAACGACUAACCGUUUGGAGAAAACGGCUAAUUGUUCAUUUCCAGAGAGCAUGUUUUAUGUUCUAGAGAAAACGGCUAACCGUUUAUUUACAGAGAGCAACUUAUUUGACAUUAUGGAAUAAAACGGCUUACCGUUAUUGAGAAAACGGCUAACCGUUUAUUUUCAGAGAUCGUGUUUUUGCGUCAAAUGGAAAAACGGUUAGCAAGCUUGGAAAUUUCAAUUGUCAUUCGAUGCAAAUUCAAACCAAAAGAGUGUUUUUUGAAGAAGUACCAUUUCUAAUGGUUGUAUUCUUUCAAAUAAACAUCUUCUUUAUUAAAAGAGAGACAUACAAUUAGAUUAUAAUUAGAUUUUGCAGAUUUCAUGUAUGUUCUGGAAAUACAAUCUUAUUUGCUAGAGAUUGUAUUCAGGAUUUGAUAUAUCUUAGGGGUACUUUGCCAUUAAAACUUUAUAGCAAACCAUGAUUGGUGAGGGCAAAUAAAACCUUAAAGGAAAGUGUGCAAACAUGUCUCAAAUCCUAAGAAAUUUUUCUUUGUUCUUUGCCUCCAUUUUUGAAAAAUCACCAACAAUCUUUAAGGUUUUAAUUUGAUGCAAAUGGAGGCUGAGAAGAGUUUGACGUCAUUUCUAAAUCCUAGUGUCCAUCUCGAUCGUUUUGAUGGAACUAAUUUCACUCGUUGGAAGGGAAAAUUAUUCUUUCUUCUUACUGUUCUUAAAGUGGCAUAUGUUCUUGAUCCAAAAUUGGAACCAUUUCCAGAACCAAGAGAAGAUGAUACCGAAGUUGCUAAGGCUGCAAGGAAACGUCGUGAAGAUGAUGAAUUGAUGUGCCAGGGCAUAUACUCAAUACGCUUUCUGACAGGUUAUAUGAUCUCUACAAUUCUAUGACUUCUCCGGUGGAAAUUUGAAAUGCUCUUGAGUACAAAUACAAAACGGAGAAAGAAGGUACUGGCAAAUUCAUUGUCUAUAAAUAUCUUGAAUUUUUAUGGUAGACACAAAAUCCAUUCUUGAUCAAAUACAUGAGUUACAAAUUAUUGUUGCUAAACUUCGAGAGUUAAAAGUUGAAAUUUCUGAAUCAUUUCAAGUUGGGGCUAUUAUUGCUAAAUUGCCUCAAAGUUGGAAUGAUUAUAGAAAGAAACUCCUUCAUAGUAAAGAGAACAUAACUUUAGAAGAAUUGCAAAAACACUUAGUAAUUGAAGAAGAGACUAGGUUUCGCGAAUCCAAGGAUAAGCAUGAUUCUACUAAAGUUAAUGUUGUUGAAACUAGUAAAUUCUCAAAGAAUUUUAAAGUCAAGAAUGACAAGAAAUUCAAGAAGUCCAGCACACAAAAGUUUUCUAGAAAUUGUUUCUUUUGUGGUAAGAAAGACCAUCGCCAAAGUGAUUGCAGAUUCAAGAAGAAAAAUGAAGAAGUGAAUUCCCAUAAAGCUAAUGUUAUUGAAAACAAAUCUGAAGAGAUUUGUGCUAUGGUUUCUGAAAUGCAAAUUGGCAUGAUUACCGAAACUAAUAUGGCUGAAACUAAGUCCUAUGAUUGGUGGCUCGAUUCGGGUGCAACAAUUCAUGUUUGUAAUGAUAAGAAAUUUUUCUUAUCAUACAAAGAAGAAAUAAAAGGACAAAUGGUUCUCAUGGGGAACAAUAAUGCAGCCAUAGUAGUAGGGAAAGGAGUAGUUGAGAUCAACUUCACUUCUGGAAAGAAAGUCACAUUGUAUAAUGUCUUUCAUGUACCUUCCGUUAGGAAGAAUCUUAUUUCUGCUAGUUGUAUGUGUAAGCAUGGGCUUAAAAUUGUGCUUGAGGGUAAUACUUGUAUUAUCUCAAAGAAUGGAUUAUUUGUUGGGAAAGGGUAUUCUUGUGAUGGAAUGUACAAACUCAGCAUUAAUAAUAAUAAUAUCAACUUAGCUUAUAUUGUUGAGUCUUGUGAUGUUUGGCAUGCUAGAUUAGCACAUUUGAAUUUUAGAUCUUUGAAAUACAUGUCUAAGCAUGAUUUGAUUAAUUGCAAUGAUGUUAAAGGUCAUAAGUGUGAAAUCUACAUCCAAGCUAAAUUAACUAAGAAACAUUUUCCUAAAGCCGAACAAAAUACUCAAAUAUUGGAUUUAAUACAUACCGAUAUUUGUGAGUAUAAUGGAGUUUUAACAAGAGGAGGUAAGAGGUACUUUAUCACUUUUAUUGAUGAUUGUUCUAGAUACACUUAUGUGUAUUUACUUAGAACAAAAAAUGAAGCUUUUAAUAAAUUUAAAAAUUUCAAAGCUGAAGUUGAGAACCAAAAAGAUAAGAAAAUCAAAAUGGUUCGUAGUGAUAGAGGUGGUGAAUAUUUCUCAAUUGAAUUUAAUAAUUAUUGUGAAGAAUUUGGAAUUAUUCACUAAAGAUCAACUCCAUUUACUCCUCAACAAAAUGGUUUGGCUGAAAGAAAGAAUAGGAUCUUCACGGAUAUGAUAAAUUCCAUGAUCCUUAAUGCAAAACUACCGAAUAAUUUGUGGGGGGAAGCAUUGCUCACUGCAUGUCAUAUUCAUAACAGAAUUACAUCUUUGAAAACACAUAAAUCUCCUUAUGAAAUUUGGAAAGGAAGAAAACCAAACUUGAUGUAUUUAAGGGUCUGGGGUUGUUUAGCUUUUUAUAAAAUACAUGAUCCUAAAUCAUCAAAGUUAAGUGCUAGAGGUAUAAAGAGUGUUUUCGUAGGAUAUGCUGAAAAUUCCAAGGCUUAUAGGUUGUUAGAUUUAGAUUCUAAUAUGAUUGUGGAAUCUAGAGAUGUUGAAUUUAUUGAGAAUAAAUUUCAACAUGAUUAGAAUAUUGAAUUAGAAUCAAUUAUUGAUCAACCAUGUGUUAAUACUCCUAUUACCUCCACUAACAAUAAUAAAAGGAAAGAGUCUAUGACAUCUUUCGAACCAAGGAGGAGUCAACGUGAAAAGAAAGAAAAGAGUUUAGCUUCGGAUUUUAUUUCAUCGCAAGCACUACUCUUCUUGGUUGAAGGGGAUAGAAAGAAUGUACUUAACAAAGUACCAUUGUUGUUAAAUAUUGAAAAAGAUCCAAAGACAUUUAGCGAAGCUAUGUUUUCUAGAGACGCUUCUUUUUGGAGAGAGGCGGUAAAUGAUGAAAUGGAUUCGAUUAUUUCGAAUCAAACAUGGGUCUUGGUUGAUUUUCCUCCAGGAUCUAAACCAAUUAGCAGCAAAUGGGUAUUUAGAAGAAAGUACAAUAGUGAUGGUUCUUUGCAAACUUUUAAGGCUAGAUUAGUAGCCAAAUGGUUUAAGCAAAGAAAUGGUAUUGAUUAUUUCGAUACAUAUGCUCCGAUAGCAAGGUUAACUUCUAUAAGAGUGUUAUUUGCAAUUGCUUUAUUAAACAAUUUGUAUGUACAUCAAAUGGAUGUUAAAAUCGCUUUUCUUAAUGGUGAUCUUGAUGAAGAAAUCUAUAUGGAACAACCUGAGGGAUUUGUUUUGCCAGGAAAUGAGAAAAAGGUAUGCAAGUUAGUCAAAUCACUUUAUGGUUUAAAGCAAGCACCAAAACAAUGGCAUGAGAAGUUUGAUUCAGUAAUUUUAUCUCAUGGUUUUAAGCAAAAUAAUGCUGAUAAAUGUAUAUAUUUUAAAUUUACGAAUGAUUUUGGUGUGAUUAUAUGCUUGUAUGUUGAUGACUUACUUAUCUUUGGAACAAAUAUGCAAGGAGUAGAUGAUACAAAGAAGUAUUUAACUUCACAAUUUAAGAUGAAAGAUCUUGGUGAAGUAGAUAUUAUCUUAGGUGUCAAAGUGAAGAAAUAUAGUGGGGGUUACUCGUUGUGUCAAUCUCAUUAUAUAGAGAAAGUGCUUCUUAAAUUCAAUUAUUUGAAAUUUAAAGAAGCUAAUACCCCAUAUGAUUCUAUUAUUAAAUUACUAGAGAAUUCAGGCCGAGUAGUAGCACAACUAGAAUAUGCUAGAGCUAUUGGUAUCUUGAUGUAUGCUAUGCAUUGUACGAGGCCUGAUAUAUCAUUUGCAGUUUGCAAAAUGUCAAGAUUCACGAGUAACCCUAGUGUUGAACACUGGAAAGCAAUUGGUAGGAUACUUGGUUAUCUUAAAAGGACCAUUAAUUUGGGUUUGUUUUAUAAUGAUUAUCCUGAAGUACUGGAAGGAUAUUCAGAUGCUAGUUGGGUAACCAAUACAAGAGAUAAUAAAUCCACUUCUGAUUGAAUUUUUACAAUUGCUGGAGGAGCGGUUGCUUAGGCUUUAAAGAAACAAACGUACAUAACUCAUUCAACAAUGGAAAGUGAGUUUAUAGCACUUGCAGCUGCAGGCAAGAAAGUAAAAUGGCUGAGAAAUUUGUUGUUUGAUAUAAUGUUGUGGCCACAACCGAUGCCAUCUAUUUCUUUGUACUGCAAUAGUGAAGUUACAUUGUCUAGAGUUUAUAAUAAAGUGUAUAAUGGAAAGUCUAGACAUAUUAGCUUGAGACAUGAAUAUGUGAAACAAUUAAUAGCAGAUGGUGUUAUUAAUAUUGUUUAUGUUAGGACUAAUAAGAACCUAGCGGAUCCUUUAACAAAAGGUCUUACAAGAGACUUAGUUAAGGAUACAUCUUUUGGAAUGGGAUUGAAACCUUUAAAUAAUAAAGUCACCAACGACGGUAACCCAACUAUGUAGUAGUUGUACCGCUACUCCAUAGUUAAAUGGGUAAUAACAAGUUGUUGUUAUGUGACUGGUUUGGCACCGAGUAAUAAAUAAUCCCAUUCGAGAUAUUCGGUGCAAAUAGCUACGAGGUUGAGGUUGAGUAUUUACUCUUAAUGAAGUUCAAGUCUUAUAGUGGCUAAAGACAUGAUUUGAAACUUCACCUAAGUGAACAUACGAAAUGGUGCCGUUUCUAACAAGAUCAUAGUUUAAUCUUGUAAAUGUUCAUGAAUCCAAGAUAGAGCACAAGGCCGGAAUAGUGCUAAAUUUUGGAACACAACUUUGAAAAUCUGGGAUAGCUUAUAUGUGAUGUAUCUCCGGUAUUUACUUAAGAGACAAAGUUUAAUGCUUAGCACACUAUUGUCUUGUAAAUGCUUUGAAAUACACUCAUUAAUUAAAGGUUAAAAUCGAAAGAUACCUUUUUGUAUGUAUAAGUUUAUCAUUAAUAAAUCUGAAAAAUAUUACAAUCUAGUGGGGGAUUGUAAGAGAGAUUGUAACAUUUUUCAAUCUUUGGUUUGAUAUUCUGGAAGAAAACGGUUUGCCGUUUAUGGAGAAAACAGCUAACCGUUUCAUUCCAGAGAGCAUGUUUUCUGUUCUAGAGAAAACAACUAACCGUUUGGAGAAAACGGCUCACCGUUUGGAUAAAACGACUAACUGUUUGGAGAAAACGGCUAACUGUUCAUUUCCAGAGAGCAUGUUUUCUGUUCUAGAGAAAACGGCUAACCGUUUAUUUAUAGAGAGCAACUUAUUUGACAUUCUGGAAUAAAACGGCUCACCGUUAUUGAGAAAACGGCUAACCAUUUUUUUCCAGAGAGCGUGUUUUUGCGUCAACUGGAAAAACGGUUAGCAAGCUUGGAAAUUUCAAUUGUCAUUCGAUGCAAAUUCAAACCAAAAGAGUGUUUUUGAAGAAGUACCAUUUCUAAUGGUUGUAUUCUUUCAAAUAAACAUCUUCUUAUUAAAAGAGAGACAUACAAUUAGAUUAUAAUCAGAUUUUGCAGAUUUCAUGUAUGUUCUGGAAAUACAAUUUUAUUUGCUAGAGAUUGUAUUCAGGAUUUGAUAUAUCUUGGGGGUACUUUGCCAUUAAAACUUUAUAGCAAACUAAGAUUGGUGAUGGCAAAUAAAACCUUAAAGGAAAGUGUACAAACACGUCUCAAAUCCUAAGAAAUUUUUCUUUGUUCUUUGCCUCCAUAUUCGAAAAAUCACCAACAUAUAGUACAUAAAAAUGAAACUUGCACUAGUAAAUAUAACUCACAAAAUUCUUAAGCUUGGCAAAAUAAAAAUUUCGAAUACAUGCAUAAGUUUUUCAUAUUUUGUUUCUUUAUUUUGAUUAAGACGAUCAUUUAUAUAUAUAAAAUGUAAGUAUUUAAUCUAUUUUUGUAUAAUAAAACAGUUUUGAAUCUUCUUCUCAUGGUUAUACUCCAAAAUAUUCUAUGGUAAUGGACAAUGAAUAUAACCAGUGUUUCUAACUUUCUACUGCCCACCUUGCUUCGUUCGAGGUUUUUAAUUAAAUAUUCCUUAAAAGUAGGGUAUUUAGUUAAAUAUACCCCAUGCUUGAAAAUUAUCUAGAUAUACCUUUUUUAUGUGGUACAUUGUCUAAAAUAUCCCUAAAGAAAAAUAUAAAACACACACAACUCACAACACUCUUUACUUUUCGCUCUUUUUAACUCCACACAACAAAAACUCACACCACACUCAAAAUAACUCACAAACAGCUAAUGCACUGAGAUUUUUGUUUGCAGUUGGGUGUAUUAUUCAUCCCAUGAAUAAGGUAUUUCAAACUUUUUUUUUAUUUUGUGUUAUCUAUUCAAUUUGUUGACAUUAUAUUAUUUUUAGGGUUUUGUUUGGUUUGUGAUAAACACUAAAGCAACUCAUAUUUUCAUUACAUUUGCAUCAUAUGACUGUUAUUUGAUGGAUUUUAUAAAUACAUUCGUUAAAACCUGAAAUUGUUGUCAAAAUUUUUUUCUGCACCCGACAUACACGACAGCAGUCGUGUAUGUAUGUAUUUACACAACUGUAGUCGUGAAAAUGUGCAAAAAAUUCCAAUUAUUAUGACACCUUAUCAUUCUAUUGGUUCAAAAAAUAUAUAUUUUUUUCACUAUAUAUAUCAUUUUACUAUUACUGGACUAUAGUCGUGUGUGUUAAUAAGUUACACGACUAUUAGCGUGUAUGUAUGAACUUGCAUACUAUAAUUGUGUAUAUAUGUAAAAUGUUCCAAUUGUUAUGAGAUCCCAACAUUUUUUUAAGAAAAAAUAUGUCCUCUGAUUAUUUACUGAGUCAUGUAUUUUUGCAAUUUACACGACUUCUGUCAUGUAUGUAUGAAAUUACACGACAACAAUCGUGCAAGUUUGAAAGAUAUAGUAGCUGUUAUAACACCUAGCAUUCUGUUAGUACAAAGAUUACAAUUUUUUUUUACUAAAUAUAUCAUCUGACUGUUUACAGAACUAUAGUUGUGUAUUUUAGCAAGUUACACAACUAUUGUCAUGUAAACUAGCAAUUACACGACGUCAGUCGUAUAAAUAGGCAGACAGAUCCACACUUCGUUAUAUACCUUGUUUGAUUUUGUUUUUGUAUUUGUUGUAUAAUCAACUGUUGUAUUAUUGCAGGAAAUAACUUCAAUACGUGUGCCUAUUAUGUUUUGUGGUGAAUAGAUUAAGCAAAACGACCAUUAUAGAUUUAAUGGUACAGAGGCAAGAGAGAUUAUGGUGCCCCGUUCUACAACAUAUGUUGUUUUAGGCUUGGUGAUAUCAGAGAAGAUUGGGUUGAAGAUGCAAAAAAAAAAUUAUGAUGAUUGUUAAACAACUUCUACUGUAUUACGACUUAUUUACGAUUCGAAUAAGUAUUGGAUUUAUGUUGUUUGAUAGGCAACCAGACUACAGUUAAUUUCAUUUAUUUGAAGUUUGAUAUGUUAAAGUCUAUAUUGAUUGUGUCAUCAAUAUAAUGAAUGUUUUAGAUAAUUUUUUAUUUUGUGUCCACAUACCCAAGUAUAAUCGUGUAUUUUGGCUGUUACAGAACUGAUCAUGUUUAUUUGUAAAUACGCGACUGCAGUCGUGUAUCUGUGCAAAUACCCGACUGCAGUCGUGUAUUUUCUUACAGAGAGCGUCAUGUUUAUUUGUAAAUACGCGACUGCAGUCGUGUAUCUGUGCAAACACCCGACUGCAGUCGCGUAUAUGUUCAAACACCCGACUGCAGUCUCGUAUUUUCUCACAGAGAGCUUGUCAUGUUUAUUUGUCAAUACUCGAUUGCAGUCGUGUAUCUAUGCAAAUACCCGACUACAGUCAUGUAUUUUCUCACAGAGAGUUUGUCAUGUUUAUUUGUCAAUACUCGACUGCAGUCGUGUAUAUGUGCAAAUACCCGACUGCAGUUGUGUAUUUUCUUACAGCGUAUUUCCUGUGCAUAUAUGGCAAUCAUGUUAUAUCACAUAGAUUAUACAAACUAUCUUAUAUAUUAUUAAUAUAAUUAACAAAGAAAUAAAAUAUAUUAAUGAUGUCAAGUUAUCUUUAAUGACAUCAAAUAUCAACAACAUCUUCAUCAUAACUAUUACAUCUCAUAAUCCAAAAAAUAACACUACAAAGUUUUUUUCCAUGACCAAUGCCCAAAUAAUUUUAGGCUUCGCCACACGCUCUACAACGCUUUUUCUCAAACUACCAAUGGUCAUCUUGAAAGAAAUGCGUCCCCAUGGAAAUUCAUUAAACUCGGUAAAAUUGUCCACAAGGAGUACAUUAGUUUCAUUUAUAUGAUUUCUAUUCUCCUUUCCAAGUAACACAGACUCAACAAAACAAUGCACAGCCAGCUUGACCAUUUUCAUGUCAUCAUUUGACUUAGCCCGCAAGAACUUUGUACGAAGUUCUUUUGUUGUGAUUGCACAAUUUCUAUCUAGGAAUUCAUCAACUAUUCUGUAAUCAUCGUCAUUAUUUUCAGUUUCGGGCUCAUACGAUGGACUGUAAUCUAAGCCUGUCACCAAGGCAAACUCCUCCAAUGAAAAUAGAAUAUUUUUUCGUCCGAGCCUAAACCACAUUGCAUUUUCAUCUGAUUUCACUUCUCUCAAUAAUAUGUUGUAGAGUAACUGAGCAGAAAACUUUAACUCUUUCACAUCCAAAAAAUGAUCGAAACAGGAACGUUUGAAAAUAUUUUUCUGCGCCUCAGAGAGUCUAUCUUUAAUGUCCUUCACUGCCUCUAGUGAUGAUCGAUUUAAAAUCUUUGCUUUGAAGUAUUCAGAUUCCUUGAUCUUCAGUUCCAUCUGCAUAAAUACAAAAAAAUUUAUCAAUCAAUAUAUAAAAUGAUUGAAAAGUUGCAUAAUAAUAGAUUUUAAACCAAUCAUAAAAAUUACACGACAUACCAGUCGAGUAAAUCAUACAUUGCACGACUACAGUCCAGUAAAACAUGCAUUGAACUAUAGUCCACUAUAAAAACCAUAGAUUCUUUGUAACAUUGGAAAUAAAAUGUUCAUGCCCAAUGCAUAUCCAAUGAAGAAUUCUUUACAAACUACAGUCGAGUAAAAAACUAAUUAUGCAAAUAUAGUGGAGUAAAGUGUUCAUACCCGACUACUGUCGAGUAAAGUAUUCUUCACACAACAGCAGUCGUGUAAAGAAUUCUUUACACAACUGUUGUCGAGUAAAGAAUUCUUUACACGACUCUAGGGUAAAAGUCAGGUAAAGAAAUGCUUUACACAACUGCAUUGGAGAACUCUUUACACGACUCUAGGGUAAAAAUCAAGUAAAGAAAUUCUUUACACAACUGCAUUGGAGGUUAGAUUAUAAUAACAACUAAAAAAAGCCACCUAAACUUUCAAAAUUAAAACAAUAAAAUAAAUAAACAAAUAUGCAAAACCUGGGGAGGUCCCUGAACUACAACGACAAAUGACGGUGGUUCACCGUAAAAGCGGUCUAUAGUCGGAAUGUGAAGCCGACUUUGCUCUUUCUCUACUCUCGUGACUGUAAUCGCUUGGCUUUCACAGAUGAUGUAAAAGCAAAUGCCUAAAAGAUAAUAACAAUAACAAAAAUUAAAUUCAGCAAUAGUAAUUAUUUUAUUUAUAUAAAUGAGGGGGGGGGGGGGAAUAAAGUAAAUAACAAUUGACGACCUUACGGUUUUUUUUCUUAUCAUGUUUAUUUUUUAUCGGAUUUGGACUUAUUUUUUGCAGAAAAGCCCAAUUUGUGAGUCAUGUGUGCCUGUGCUUUUGCAGCGGUUGUGGCAACGGAGAGUUGGGAGAAGAGAGUAAGGCGCUGGGUUUAGGGGACGGUGAAGAAUAAGAGGAGAGCAAAGCGCCAAUGGCGCGCGAAGCGCAUGCGGAACGGGCACGGAGAGAAAUCAGUGUGGAGGAGAAGCAGCCGAGCUCAUUCACUUCGCUUCCUGGGCCAAAGCAGUGCAGUUUUUCCUGGCCAAAUCAAGGAUUGCUAGUUAAGAAUGUUCUUUGGGCGGAGAGAGAGAGCUUUGUAUCUCUGAAGAAGAGACAGUAAUCAAUUGGAAGAAGAACGAAUGCGAUGGUCUAGGGUGUGCGGGAUGGGCGCUCCUCUAUUUUUGUAACUGGGUUCUGGUCUUUGAACUCGAAACAGAAGAAACAAAUAGAAACAUUGAGGGCGCUAUAUUGUGAAUGCUUUUGGGAAAUAAGAUUUUUAAUUAGGGUAAUUUAGUACUUGCACAAAAUAAAAGGUAUACAUGCGGAAAUUUAAAAUAUGGGGGUGUAUCUGGAUAAAUAACCUAUUUUAAGAGCAUAGCCGGGACAAAUCCCUGACUUCGUUCUCUCUCAAUAUUAAAUUGUUCAUCAUUUAACUUAUUUUGAAGUGGGUACACCGUUCUACGUCCCUCUUAGCUAACUUCAUUCUUGAUAUUAAAGCUUUGAUCAUUUGAAGUCUUGACUGAUUUUGAAGUGCGCACAAUUUUGUUUUAUUUUGUAAUAAUUUGGUUUCCUCCGACAUUUUAAAUAAGUGUAGUAAUUAAAAUUAAAUAAAUUUUUGGAAAGGUUUAUACAAAAGAGGGAAUUAAUUAUAUAAGAAGGAAGAAAAAGAUUAAAUAGAAAUAUAUACAAGAAUUUUUUGUUUUUUUAAUGUUUGGAGUUUUAGUCAUAUGGCAAAAUAAAAAUGAAAUUUAUGUGAUGCCAAAUCAAGAAAUUCCUAAUACAUGAAUCAGUUUUUCCAUUUCUUUUUUCUUUUAAUUUUAUCUAAGAUGAUCAUUUAUAAAUGAAAAUAUUUAAUACUAUUUUUACCAGUGGCAUGUUUUUAUUUUAUUUUUUUGAGAAUAAAUAUUACAAAACAAAACAUUAGAUAAGCAAGUAUAACUUUUUAUUCGUACAGACAAUCCACAGCAAAAGACUUUCUCCAAAUAAAAAACAUAUAUAAAAGAAAGACUUCUGAAUUCACACUAUACGCAACAAGCACACAUAGAUCAACAACACAAGACAAGGCCCUUGAAACUGAAGAAGCGGCAGAAGCAGCAGAGAAUUAAUUA
RNAcentral lists this long non-coding RNA (13551 nucleotides) under Citrus maxima (pomelo). Its description in RNAcentral is "long non-coding RNA (CMAX_LNC000400)". The record is from RNAcentral. Lineage: Eukaryota; Viridiplantae; Streptophyta; Magnoliopsida; Sapindales; Rutaceae.